This is a long non-coding RNA of Homo sapiens (human), 1213 nucleotides long. Ensembl annotates it as long intergenic non-protein coding RNA 963. Lineage: Eukaryota; Metazoa; Chordata; Mammalia; Primates; Hominidae. The record is from Ensembl.
CUGGCAGGAGCCGUCCUCACUCCCUCUAUUGCCUCUCCAGACCCAGACUUCACCCUCAGGUCACCCUCACCUGGACUUUGGGGUGCCCCACACCCCGCCCCAGGCCCUGGCCUCUGGAAUAUUUGGAAACUUGAACUGGGCCAGAGGCUUAAGCUCACAUCUGUCUGGAGCCUCAACUUUCUCCUCUGUAAAAUGGGCUAACACUGAAAGAACCUUGCAGAAUCUCAGCAACGUCACAGAGGACAUUGUUAGCACAGCCAGCGGGCUCCUGCUGGGCUGAGUUUGUGGGUAAUCCAAGCCUCGGCAGGUACAGUUCCUCCCUCAGCCCAGUGCAGAUGCAUCUGACUUACGAAACUUCAGUGACACCUGCUCUGUGCCAGACACUGAAGAUGGAGCAGUGAACAGCACUGACCCAGCCUGUCCUCCUGUUGCCUGCAGGCCAGAAGCAAGGUCUCGCUGUGUUACCCUGGCUGGAGUGCAGUGGCUACUUACAGGCAUGAUCAUAGCAUACUGCAGCCUCGAACUCCUGGACUAGAGCAGUUCUCCUGCCUCAGCCUCCAGAGCAGCUGGGACUGCAGACACGCACCACAGAGCCCAGCCUGAGUCAUUUUGAUUCUGUAACUGGCUUCCUCUCGGCGGGCAGGCUCACACCCUCCACCCCCAGCUGGAGAUGGAAGGAGGAUGCUCACCGCCCAUUCCUCAUGCAGGCCAUCGAUGGAAAUGUCAGACAGUGCGAGUCCACGCCUGAACACUUCUGGGGUCCGCUCUGGGACUGACACUGGCAGAUCCAUCGUGGCACCCGAGCUCUGUGAGGGCAAGACUUUGUUCGGUUGUGGGCUAUGCCCCCAACCCCUCGGACAGUGCCUGCACAGGUGGACAUUUUUGUUGGAUGAAGGAUUUUCUGUUAAAUGUGUCUGGCACACACAGAAAAACAAAGCCCAGCAGAUGCCGUUCCAUUGUUUGCUGACUUUCAUUGAUUCUAUGAGAAGUCUGCAGUCUUUUGCAGCGUUGUUUUCCUAUGUAUAAUUGUCUCCUCCCACCCCACUCACCCCAGCUGCUUUCCACAUUCUCUCUCUUUGAUUUUCAGCAGUCUGCCCAUGAUGUGCCUAAAUAGGACUUUCUUUGCAUUCAUCUUGGCUGGGGCUCACUGAACUUUCUGAAUCUGUAGAUUAAUUUUCUUUUUUCAAUAAACCUUGGAAUAUUUUCAGCAUAA